RNAcentral lists this ribosomal RNA (451 nucleotides) under uncultured bacterium. RNAcentral's name for it is "partial 16S ribosomal RNA". It matches the Rfam family "Bacterial small subunit ribosomal RNA", at positions 28 to 507 of the family's 1533-position model. The record is from RNAcentral.
GAUGAACGCUGGCGGCGUGCCUAACACAUGCAAGUCGAGCGGCAGCGAGGGGUGCUUGCACCCUGUCGGCGAGCGGCGGACGGCCGAGUAACGCGUGGGAACGUGCCCCAAAGUGAGGAAUAACUGCCCGAAAGGGUAGCUAAUACCGCAUAUUAUCUUCGGAUCAAAGGAUUUAUCCGCUUUGGGAGCGGCUCGCGUCGGAUUAGGUAGUUGGUGAGGUAAUGGCUCACCAAGCCGACGAUCCGUAGCUGGUCUGAGAGGAUGACCAGCCAGACUGGAACUGAGACACGGUCCAGACUCCUACGGGAGGCAGCAGUGAGGAAUCUUCCACAAUGGGCGAAAGCCUGAUGGGGCAACGCCGCGUGCAGGACGAAGGCCUUCGGGUUGUAAACUGCUUUUAUAAGUGAGGAAUAUGACGGUAACUUAUGAAUAAGGAUCGGCUAACUACGUG